Bos taurus (domestic cattle) is the source of this 648-nucleotide long non-coding RNA. NCBI's taxonomy places the organism in Eukaryota, Metazoa, Chordata, Mammalia, Artiodactyla, Bovidae. The record is from Ensembl.
GCUUCUGCAUGAAUAAAUGCUGCUUGCUCAUUCUGUAGUGCUCCAGGAAGAGAUGUGCAAAGUUGUUACCUUCCUGCUAUUCCAAUGUACAACAGCUAAGUCUCUUUUAUCCUUAGGAAAACUACAAGUUUGAGCAAGGUAGGUAUAUACAAAUACUAGAACUCGGCUGGAGGAAAAGAAAUCUUCAUGGAGAGAAGUGGAAACAAAACAUCCAGUCCCCACCAAAGGCUCCCAAAUCCAAGGUUUAACUGUGUAAUGGGACUUCCUUUUAGGAAUGUCAUGAAUUAUUUUGAGACUGUGAUAAGAACCAUGGAUGCAGACUUCUCUGGUGUUCUGGUAGUAAAGAAUCCAACUACCAAUAUAGAUGACACAGGUUCAAUCCCUAGUCUAGGAAGAUUCUGCAUGUUGCCAGAGUAACUAAACCCUCACACUGCAACUACAGAGCGUAAGUGCUGCACUUAGAGAAAGCCCACGGGCAGCAAUGAAGACCUGGUGCAGCAAAAAAAAGAACCAUGGAUGCUUAUUCUUAGCAAAUUGACAUACAUGCAAUUGUACAUGGACUCAUAGAAGAUUUAUGGACGCUGCAAAGGCUGUCUUCAGACUCUAGGUAAAAAAAUCCUGAUCCAGAGUAAAGUAGAAAUUAUCAAC